AUGUUGUUAAAUAUUGCACAAAACUUGUUCAAAGGAGAGGAGAAGAGGACCAAGAAGGGGAAGAUCAAGAAAGGAAUGCCAUUUACCUUGCCUCAUUGCUAUGAAGUAUUGAAGGAUGAUGAGAAAUGGAAGAAGCGUGAGGAUAUUGAUGAUUUGGAUUUGAGCAAAAAACGCAAGCGAACAAUUAAUUUGGAAGAUGAUGAUGAUGAGGAUGCAUCAAGUGAAGAUGGCAAGAGAAGCCCCACACCAAACUCAGUUUCAUACUCGAAGCCAAAACGACCGGAUGGCACCAAGAAAGACGCAAAAGAAAAGAAGAAGAGGAAAGGAGAUGAUGAGCUCAAAAAUGCUAUGGAAGAAAUUGUCAGCACAAGAAAAGAAGCCAACGAGGUGAGGAAAAUGGCAAGGAACCAAGAUGCCACGACCGAGGAGAGGAGGUUGGCGGCCGAGGAGAGGAGGGUGGCGGCCGAGGAGAGGAAAGUGGCAUUGGAGGAGAGGAAGGUGGGCAUGGAGGAGCGAUCUAAAUUGUUGGGAUGGGAGAAGCACUUGUUCUUUUUGGACACAUCUUUGUUCAAUGAUGCGCAAAAGAAGUAUGUCAAUCUUGCCCGUGAAGAAGUCUUGAUCCAAAAAAGAGCCAUGAUUCACGCAAUGGGUGGCGGUGGCCUUGGCGGCAUGGGUGGCAUUGGUGCCAUGGGUGGCUUUGGAGCUACCAUGGAGACCAUGAGAGGCAUGGGUGGCUUCGGAGCACCUCCGGGCGGCUUGGACGGCAUGGGUGGCAUGGGUGGCAUGAGUUUUACGUCUCUCAUUUGGGGCAUGAGUGCACCUCCGGGCGCCGGUGUGCCACCUUCGCAUGAAGAUGCCGUUGAAGAUCUUGGCAACACCUUCCGAGCUUCACGUGAUGAGGAUGCGGCGCGCAACAAUGAAGAGGAGGAGGAAGAAUCGUCUUCAGAUGAGUCGGAGGAAGAUGAGGAUGAAGACGAGGACGAGGCUUGA
RNAcentral lists this ribosomal RNA (990 nucleotides) under Triticum aestivum (bread wheat). RNAcentral describes it as "partial small subunit ribosomal RNA". The record is from RNAcentral. Lineage: Eukaryota; Viridiplantae; Streptophyta; Magnoliopsida; Poales; Poaceae.